Molecule: ribosomal RNA, 500 nt
Filed under: uncultured bacterium
Lineage: Bacteria
Description: bacterial SSU rRNA
Rfam family: Bacterial small subunit ribosomal RNA
Source: RNAcentral
GAUGAACGCUAGCGGCAGGCUUAAUACAUGCAAGUCGAGGGGCAGCAGGACUGUAGCAAUACAGUUGCUGGCGACCGGCAAACGGGUGCGGAACACGUACGCAACCUACCCAAAACUGGGGAAUAGCCCGGGGAAACCCGGAUUAAUACCUCGUAACAUAAUGAUGUGGCAUCACAUUAUUAUUAUAGCUCCGGCGGUUUUGGAUGGGCGUGCGCCUGAUUAGGUAGNGGCGGGGUAACGGCCCACCAAGCCUGCGAUCAGUAACUGGUGUGAGAGCACGACCAGUCACACGGGCACUGAGACACGGGCCCGACUCCUACGGGAGGCAGCAGUAAGGAAUAUUGGUCAAUGGACGCAAGUCUGAACCAGCCAUGCCGCGUGGAGGAUUAAGGCCCUCUGGGUUGUAAACUCCUUUUAUCUGGGAANAAAUGCUAUUUUUUCUAAAGUGCUUGACGGUACCAGAGGAAUAAGCACCGGCUAACUCCGUGCCAGCCGCCGCC